Molecule: long non-coding RNA, 20720 nt
Filed under: Coffea arabica (coffee)
Lineage: Eukaryota; Viridiplantae; Streptophyta; Magnoliopsida; Gentianales; Rubiaceae
Description: long non-coding RNA (CARA_LNC001804)
Source: RNAcentral
UUUUUUUUUUUUUGGUUCUCACUGUAUUUGAUUGGUGUAGAUGACAAAUGAAAUUGGGUUAGUGAUUGUCAAUCUUAUGAAUGAUUAUGAGAGUAAAAUAUGUUAUGGAAUUUGCCAAUGUGAUUUUGUAGGGUGGUCAUUAUCCAUUAGUUAAAAUUUUGGAGUUUUGAUUUUGUGAAUUAGUGGGUCAUCUAUUAGUUAAAAUUUUGAAGUUUUGAUUUUGUGGGUUUGUCGGUCACGUAAAUUGGACAGUGGGAAGGGAUAAAGAGAAGCGAUAAGGAUUAUUGAAUUAAAAUAAAUCUAAAGUUACAGUAAAAAGGGAUUCAGAUUUCUAGCGCUUGUGAAGGCUCCUUGUCAAAAACCUGUCCUCUAAUAUAUAUCGAUAUAGAUUGUCUGUAGAAAGAAAGCAGCAGCAAGGAAAAUAGGAAAAAACCAAAAAAACAAACCUUGUGGAAUGAGAAUCCUAUAAAAUUUGUUAAACCAAAAACUUGUCACAUUUUAUAAAAUAGGGUUUUUCCUUGUAUAAAUUAAUCUCUUCUUCCAUUUAUAAUGUAUAUACUAGUGGGUCUAUAAGUAUGACAAAUAAUUUAAAUUUCAAGUUUUGUACAUGUGGCAUGCAUUUAGAUGGUUAGUGUAUAUGCUAUCAAUUUAAUUUAGAUUAAUCUUCCUUAUACCAUCUAUCUAAUAAUUGGGGGCAUCACUAUGUGUUGUUAAUACACAAGUUUCACCUUUUCAAUUCCUUUUGCACCUUACUAUUAAGAGGAUUUAAUUUUUCCUCACAUACAAAAAUUAAGAGGAUUUAGUUUCUAGGGCAGUUUUCACCUUUUAAACCAUGCGAUGCAGUGAUUGGACAUUAUUAGAAUUUGGAAAAUUAUUGUCAUAGGAUUCAUAUUCUGAGAAAGGCAUGCAUCGUGGGAACUAAACUUCCGUUCACACCAUCUCCUUUGUCAUAUCCAUUCUUGUUCCACUGCCGCCUUCUUCCAUGCAUGUGUUCUGUCUUUUCCUCUUUGCUUGGAAUUUAUGUCUUUUUGUGUACUAGUUAUUUGGCUCUUUUCCGUUUUGUACAUUUACAUCGAUGAUCAUGAUGGUUAAUUUACUGAUCCCUGUAUAUAUAUCCAUAUUUGCCGUUCAAUCCUUUAAAAAAUUCCACAUUUUUUGACUACAUAAUUCACCCCAGCCCUGUACCCCAGCCGGCCGUUGCCUUACUCAGUUGGAUCCAAAAGCCUUUGGCAAUGGUUCCAAGCUGUGUUUUCUUUGAUUAUAGUGCUUCUGCCUUCGGUCGGUGGGAAGAAAAUCCCUCACUUUGCACACUAGAAGCUGUCAAUUGGAAAAUUUUGAGGUAGCUUCCCGUCAAAUGUAAAUAGGGAAGCAUUAAUUGUGCAUUUUCUGCAGCUAUAAAACCCGUUUCAACAAUAUGUUCGACAGCUUGUCUAGGACAAAAUCUUUUAACAUUUGAGUAGAUCUAUUAUUUCAUGAACCGUGUUACCUCCAAUUUAAUUGUACGAACAAUCAAAAGGACCACAAGAACAAAUGUUGAUAGCAUUUGUUAACUAUUAUACGGUGCUGGAGCUCGAAAUGCUUUCUCGCUCUAGUAAAAUCCAAAAUAACUAGAAGCGUAGUUUUGUACUUUAAGUGGAAAUAUGUAUGAAGUGAGCAAGCAGGCGGACCCAAAUAUCUUCUUUGACAGAAGAACAGACAAUGAACAGGUCUUGUUGUUGGGAAAGGGGUACCAGUACAGGCACACAAUAUCAGAGUUAGCCCAGGACAAAUUUCUCUUUCUCCAAGUACCAGUUAAAAUAGGAACAAAUCAAAUCACCAAGUAAUAAUGCCAGCAGUGAUAAUAAAAUGCAAGAAAAAAUAGAAGGCACAGGACACCAAGAUUUUUAUGUGAAAAACCCAAAUUGGAAAAAAUCACGGGAUCUAGUCCAGUCAAAAACUUCACUAUCACAAUAAUGGAAAUACACAGGUCUAUCCGAAAUAUUCGGAUGACAAUAAUAGCACCAAUAUCAACCAAGCAAAUCUGCUAUAAAAUCACCCCCAAAAACUAUAACUGUCAAAGAAGUGGGUUUGGAAAGGUGUUAUCAAACGAAGAGGAAAUCUGAAAUCUGAAUCUGUAGAUGAGUAGAGCUUGAUGAGAGGAUCCCGUGUGUAAAAUUUCAUCUCAAUCGGGUUUCAAAUUACCCUCCAAUCAAGACCUUGAAGUUUCUCUCUCUAGCUAUUUCUCUCUCUUCGUAUCUCUCAAAAGUGGCGGCUGGCUCUUUUUUCUCUCACGCAAGAACCGAAGCCAUUAUCUCUUCAUGCGGCUGCUCUAUGUAUUUAAGCAUGAGAAGCCCUCAACCUUUUGCAUAAGUGGGUUGGCCCACAAAUGGGUUGGGCCACACCCAACAAUCUCCCCCUCCAACUCAUUUGGGGGGCUCCACCAAACCUGUUUCUUGCCUGUAAAACAAGAGUUUCUCCUUAGACAAUGCCUUAGUAAACAUGUCAGCCCCAUUAUCAUUUGUAUGCACCUUCUCAAGUGUCGACAGCUUGGAAUCCAGUACUUCCCGAAUCCAAUGAUACCUCACAUCACUAUACUUCUCUUGUUUCAUACCUAAUUCUUGAAGGAAUUUCUGCAACCGAAGAGUCUCCUUGCAUGCUUCAGUGGCUGCAAUAUACUCUGUCUCCGUACUAGAAAGGGCGAUAUAUUUUUGUAACUUACUUUACCAUGAUACUGCUCCCCCUGCAAAAAUCAUCAAGUACCCAAAUGUGGACUUUCUGUUAUCAAGAUCACCAGCCAUAUCUGCAUCAGUGUAUCCAUCUAGCAUAGUUUUACCAUUGUCGAAACAUAGACACAAUCUAGAAGUUCCCUUGAGAUACUUGAAAAUCCAUUUGACAGCAUUCCAAUACUCCUUACCGGGAUUAGAGAGAUACCGACUGACUAUUCCAACUGCAUGAGCAAUAUCUGGACUGGUCUAAACCAUAGCAUACAUCAAGCUACCAACGGCUGAAGCAUAAGGAACUUUCUUCAUGUCUUCUUUAUCUUUCUCACUUGUAGGACACUGUUUGAUAUUCAAUUUAAAGUGACCUGCAAGUGGAGUUGAGACUUCCUUAGCAUUGCCCAUGUUAAACCUGUUGAGCACUUUCUCAAUGUAUUUUUCUUGAGACAACCAAAACUUCCCAUUUUGCCUGUUUCGUGAGAUUUUCAAUCCCAAUAUUUGUCUAGCCGGACCCAAAUCCUUCAUUGCAAAGGAUUUACUUAACUCCUUUUUCAACCUGUCAAUUUUUAUAAUAUCACGGCCAACAAUCAACAUGUCAUCAACAUAUAGCAAGAGAAUAACAAAAUUACCAUCUGAAAAAUUUUUCACAUAAAUACAGUGAUCAGAUGUAGUCUCGUGGUACUCAUGGUCUGUCAUGAAGGAGUCAAACUUUUUAUACUACUGUCUCGAUGCUUGUUUCAACCCAUACAAAUUCUUCUUGAGACGACAUACAAGAUUUUCAGUACCACUUUCUUUGAACUCCUCCGAUUGCUCCAUGUAAAUCUCCUCUUCCAAGUCGUCAUGCAGGAAGGCUGUCUUCACAUCAAGUUGUUCGAUCUCUAAAUUCAAACUAGUUGCAAUACCAAGAACAACUCGAAUUGAUGACAUUUUUACCACAGAAGAAAAGAUUUCUUCAAAAUCUACACCUUCUUUUGACUAAAUCCCUUCACAACCAAUCUUAUUUUGUACUUUGGUUGUGAGCUGUGCUCCUGAGUUUUCAACCUGUAGACCCAUUUGUUCUUCAGAGCUCUCUUGCUCUUAGGCAGUUUCACUAGCUCAUAAGUGUGAUUCUCAUGUCCUCUUGCAUGGCUCGCAACCAAUCUUCUUUAUUCUCAUACUCUAGAGUCUCACCGUAGGAUUCUGGCUCUCCUCCAUCUGUCAACAACACAUAUUCAUGAGAAUUAUAUCUGCUAGAAGGUCUCUUCUCUCUGGUAGAUCUCUUAACCUCAUCUUGUGGUGGCGGUGGUGGAGUAGGUAGUACCUCAUGCUCAGGUUCAUCAGCAGUAGGAUUAUCACCGUCAUUAACAUCCUCUCUCUGCUCUGCCUCAGCUCCCCCUUGAUUAAAAUCAACAGGUACUAGAAUUGGAUCUGGAUCUAAAUUUGAGCUAGCAGGAAUAUCAUCUGAGGAUUUUGAGUUGUCACCUUUAUCAAUGUCUUCAAUGGUUUGAUCUUCAAAGAAGACAACAUCUCUGCUCCUGAUCACCUUCUUCUCAAUAGGAUCAUACAGCCUAUAACCAAAAUCUUCAUGUCCAUAACCCAAGAAAUGCACUGCUUUGAUUUUACAUUAGGUUUUGACCUUUCAUUUUUGGGGAUAUGAACAAAUGCCCGACAACCAAAAACUCUCAAGUAUUUAAAGGACACAUCUUUUCCCGUCCAUACCCUCUCUGGGAUAUCACCAUCUAGCGGAACUGAUGGAGAAAGAUUUAUCAAAUCAACUGUAGUCCUCAUUGCCUCACCCCAAAAGGGUUUUGGCAAUUUAGCAUUAGAGAGCAUACAUCUGACCCGCUCAGUGAUGGAUCUGUUCAUCCUCUCUGCUACUCCAUUCUCUUGAGGAGUUUUUGGUACAGUUUUCUCCAAUCUGAUUCCAUGGGACUUACAAUAGAUUUCAAAUGGUCCUCUGUACUCACCACCAUUAUCAGUACGAAUACACUUUAACUGCUUAUCAGUCUCUCUUUCAACUUUGCUAUGAAAAUCUUUAAACACAUCCAAAACCUGAUCUUUGGAUUUUAAAGCAAAACACCAAACCUUUCUAGCAAAGUCAUCAAUAAAAGUUACAAAAUAAACAGCACCACCAAGAGAUUUAUCUUUCAUAUAGCAAACAUCAGUGUGUACCAAUUCUAAUGGAUUUAAUUUUCUAGAUGGAAGAAAAUUUUUAAAAGCAACUCUGUGUUGUUUCCCAUAAAUGCAGUCAACACAAGCUUUAAGUAUAUUACCUCUAACUUCAGGUAGGAGUUGUUUGCGAACAGGAGUCUGGAUUCCUUUUUCACCCAUGUGCCCAAGUCGUCUAUGCCAAAGGUCAAUUGAUGAAUCACGAAUUGCAUUGACUUCUCCCUUCUCUAACUUGGCUUGCAUCAAGUAGGGAGUACUCUGCUUCUUUCCCCUAUCAACAACGAGAUUUUCUUUGCUGAGUUUCCAUUUGCCUCCACCUUGUAAACUAUAGUAACCCUCAUCGUCAAGUUUUCCUGUAAAAAUAAGAUUAAGGCGAAUAUCAGGGACAUGUCGAGCAUUUCUUAAUAUCAACUGGCACCCGAUAUCUGUAUCCAAAUAUAUGUCUCCCAUACCAACAACUUUGCAUGAGACCUCAUUUCCCAUCCUAACAUAUCCAAAAUAUCUUUCGGUGUAGGUUGAGAAUAAAUGCCUGUGAGGAGUAACAUGAUAAGAUGCACCCGAAUCAACUACCCAAUCACUAUCAUAAUAAAUAAUAUUCACCUGACCAUCGUCACAGAACACAAACAUAUCAUCAUGAGUUGCCACAACUGCUAUAGUGUCAUCAUCAUCUCUUUCCUUCGCCUUACCCUUUUUCUCAGCCUGAUCCCAUUUUAGGAUUCUGCAUUCUUUCAUAUAAUGCCCAUUCUUUUUACAAUAAUAGCAUGCAACAUUUUUUCGUGACUCAGACCUGCCUCUUAAUUUGUCAUUCCUGUUAUGGGGACCUCUAUUUUUGCUUCUUCCUCUUCUUUCUUUCUUUUCUGUCACCAGGGCCUGGGUCUCAUAGACAAUUCCUUAUUCCUUCCUCCUGAACUCUUCAUUCAUCACGGCCUCUUUUGCAAUAGUCAUAGUCAACACACCAUUCGGAGCUGAAUUACUGAUGGAAACCACCAUGGUUUCCCAACUAUCCGGUAGUGAACUGAAUAAUAAUAAUGCCUGUACUUCAUCAUUCAGAUUCAAAUUUAAUGUAGUUGCCUGGUUUAUCAAUUCUUGAAAAUUACUCAAGUGUUCAGUCAUAUCUUUCUCAUCCUUAUAUCUCAUUCGAGUAAUCUGUUUCAGACAACUAGCCUUGUUCAAACCUGUCUUUCUUUCAUACAUACUCUCAAGUUUUUUCAUAAUAUAUCAGUUCUGGUGUCAUUAGCAAAAUGUUAAAAAAUAUUUUGACCAAUCCACUUUCUAAUAUUACCAACAGUUUUCCUGUACAUAUUAGCCCAUUUUUCAUCACUCAUAUCACUUGGUCUACAUUUAUCCCCUAGAACAUGUUCAAACAAAUCUCUACAAUACAAGUAGUCUUCCAUUCUAGAUUUCCAAAUUGAAUAAUUAGUGGCAUUCAAUUUUAUCAUGCAACCACUAUCCGAAUCAUCCAUUUUUAACCAGUACAAAUGAACAGUCUAACCUGAGUGAUCUGAUUCUUGUUAUUGGAAAAGGGGUACCAGUACAGGCACACAAUAUCAGAGUUAGCUCAGGACAAAUUUCUCUUUCCCCAAGUACCAGUUAAAACAGAACAAAUCAAAUCACCAAGUAAUAAUGCCAACAGUGAUAAUAAAAUACAAGAAAAAAUAGAAGGCACAGGACACCAAGAUUUUUAUGUGGAAAACCCAAAUUGGAAAAAAUCACGGGAUCUAGUCCAGUCAAAAACUUCACUAUCACAAUAAUGGGAAUACACAGGUCUAUGCGAAAUAUUCGGAUGACAACAAUAGCACCAAUAUCAAACAAGCAAAUCUGCUAUAAAAUCACCCCCAAAAACUACAACUGUCAAAGAAGUGGGUUUGGAAAGGUGUUACCAAACGAAGAGGAAAUCCGAAAUCUGAAUCGGUAGAUGAGUAGAGCUUGAUGAGAGGAUCCCGUGUGUAAAAUUUCGUCUCAAUCGGAUUUCAAAUUACCCUCCAAUCAAGACCUUGAAGUUUCUUUCUCUCUAGCUAUUUCUCUUUCUUCGUAUCUCUCAAAAGUGACGGCUGGCUCUUUUUCUCUCACGCAAGAACCGAAGCCAUUAUCUCCUCAUGCGGCUACUCUGUGUAUUUAAGCAUGAGAAGCCCUCAACCUUUUGCAUAAGUGGGUUGGCCCACACCCAACACUUGUCACAAUGCGACAGUUAACCAAUUCAAUUUCUAAAAUGGCUACUGCUAUUUUUUUUUUGUGUACAUUGCUGCAAAAUGAGCUGUAACUAGUUCUCGUAAAGCCUUAAUGAUGAAUAAUGAAGCCUUAAUAUAUAUAUAUAUAUGGUAGAUUUAGUUCCUUGAAGUUCAUAUGCAUGGAAGAGAAUGUUGCAAUUAAGAGAGCUCGCUGAGUCCCACAUUGGUUGGAUUGUUUGCUCGGGAAAUUCUAGUUUCGGGUUUGAUAAUUGGUUGGGGACGGGAGCACUGGCUGGUUGUUUGGAUAGUGUUUCUGAUCAUUGCAUUUGGGACUUUUGCAAUAAUGGAGCUUGGAAUCUUGAAUUGCUGAAUCAAUGGCUUCCUCCGGAUUUUGUUCAGGAAAUUACUUGUUCAGCUCCACCAGCUUUGGACUUGCAAGAUAAGAUGAAUUGGUUGCCUAACCAAUCAGGUUUGUUUUCUUUAAGCCCGUUUUUUAAAUAGCGCAAUUACAUUCUAGUCAUUCAUUCAUGUAUACACGGAUUUGGCAUGCUAGAUUGCCUAUUAAAAUUUCUUUCUUUGCGCUCCGGAUGUUAAGAGUUCGGUUGCCGUUAGAUUCCGCUCUUUGCAAAUUGGGUUUUCACCUUCCUUCUAGGUGUUUUUGCUGUGUAAACCUUGAUAUAGAGUCGUUGGAUUAUGUGUUUUGCUCAGGUGAAACUGCUUCAUAGGUUUGGAAUUUUUUUGGUUCAGUGUGUGGAGUGGUUAAUUUAGGUCCCUCCGUUCGUGCUUAUACUGGUGGCUUGUGGUAUGGUGCUAGGUGGCAUAAGUUUCGGGAAUUUAUUCCUCAUCUUCUUCCUUUGUUGAUAUACGGGCAUCUAUGGAAAUUCCGGAACUUGGCAGUGUUUGAAUGGAAGUGUUUAUCUCCGCAGGCGAUUUGUUCCUUGGUGUUUUCUAACUUGAGGGAAUUAUAUAAUUUGCACUUUCAUUCUGCUAAUGGUUGGUCAGUUUUGGGUUUGAUUUCUAUGAUGAAGUUUUUGGAAUGUCUGUUAAUAGCAGCUUGAAGUUGGUUAAGUGGCUCAGGCGAGGUGGUGGUAUUUUAAAGUUGAAUACUGAUGGUUGCUCUGAGGCUAACAUGAAAUUUUUCAUGAAGCAAGUACUUGCAAAUGAAUUAGAAAUAGUAAUUCUAGUAGGACAAUAUUCUAAGUACUCUCUGCAUCCCCAAUACUCUAAUAGGAUAAUAUUUCCUCCCCUCUUUCCUGCCACCUCUCUUCCCCCUCUUCCUCAACCACCUUCCCUUUCCUCCUCUGCCUGAUUUGGUUGUGCAACCAAAUCAGACCGUGGGGAGAAGAAGGGAGAGGGGGAAAGGGGUGGAGGAGGGGAGGGAGAGAGAAAAAGAAAAAAGGAAAAAAAAUUUGUUUCUGCUGCUGCAACUUUUGGCAGGGGGAGGGCGAGGUGGCGGGAGAGGAGAAGAGGGGGAAAGAGAAAAAUGUAAAAAAAAAAAAAAAAAUUGCUUCUGCUGCUGUAACUUCCGGCCGGGGGAGGAGGAAGGGAGAAAAAGAAGAGAGGAAAGUAACGAAAGAAAAAAAAAAUUUAUCUUAUAAUUUCUACAAUAAAUUAUGAUAAAAUUUUAGACGCACACUCAAAAAAUUAAUUUGCCAAACAGUCCUUUGUCUUCGUUCAACUUCUACGCAUAGGUCGAUCAAAAAGUCUGCACAAUUGUUAGCUUCCCCAAGCCCGUGCCUAAUAGUAGUUGUCGGCGGAAAGUUCCGCAGGAUAGCCCUGCAAUCACUUAGUACUGGAGCGUGGAAAGUUCUGCAAGAUAGCCCUUUUUGUUUUGUUUUUUUUUUUUUUGGUGCCUCCCCUCUCCUAAAAUCACAAUACAAAUGUGCCAUGUUCAUGGACAUAGCUAAGCGCCCAACAACCUUCGGGAGUUACUCUAAAGUUGCUUUGAUAAAAUUUAUGAAUGCACUGGGCUACUUUUUAAUAUUACCAAUCUUUAUAAAAGCAAUCAUAAUUAAUGGAUAGCUAUGUUUGGAUACAAAAUUAUUUGAAUUAUUAUUUUGCUUGCAUCACAGGUGCAUUUUUCAAUUCAAUUUUUUUAUAUUUUUAAUUACUUUUUUAUGUUACAUAUAUCAUAUUACAAAAAGUAUUAUAAUAAUUAUUUCAAAUAAUAUUUCAAAUAAUACCCUAUACAAAAAUAUUGUUUAAUUUUCUACUCCUGUGGCUUUAAAAAUGUAUCAGUUCAUAAUAUACUGCAAUGAAUAAUUAAGCAAAAACUAUGUAGAAGAUGUCAUUAAAUUUACUAAAUAAGCGAAAACAUAUUUAUGUUAUUAAAUUUCUGUGAGGACCCGAAUUUUUCUCACUUAUAAUUCAAUUUUUAUGGCUUAAUUAAUUAUUUGCUUACCCAUUUUCUCCGAAUAUUAUAUUCUAACCUCGAUAGACCUAAUUACAUGGAUCUAUAGCUUUGUUAUAUUUUAAAAGUGACUUGUUUCAAAAAUUAAUUUUUGGAAGCUCGUUUAGUGAAAAAGUGAAAACGCGUUUGGAAAUUUUAACCGUUUGAGAGUACAAUAAGUUUGGAAAAUUGGAGACUUGUAUAAUGGUUCUAAAAUAGGUAAUUUUAUGUUUAAGUACUCAAAUGAUAGUUAUUAGUAAUAUCGUUAUAAGAAAUUCUUGGAGGUUUCGCUUUAUCGCACUUGAAUUGGAAAUACGCGUUUUCACGCGCGCGAUUAAUUGAGGGACUCUACACCAUUAUUUUGGGACAAUUAAGAGUGAAUAAUAUUUAUAUGAAUAUAAGUAUAUUGAAAGUUUAGUGCACUAGUGAAAUAAACUCGAGAGGAAUCGAGCCCAAAAACCCCGCAUACACGCGCAAGAGAGAGUUGACUUUUGGGGUUAUUGUGGCCACACAUUUAAGCUUACUUUAGGAGCUUUAUUUCAGCACCACACUCUCUCUCUUUCCCUCUCACUUUGGCCAAACCAUCAGCUGCAAAAACAACUCAAAGUUUCUGAAAUUUUCAUCUCCAAAUCUUGCACAAACCUUCACCAAAUCCUACCAAAUUUUAACUACACCUAGCUUAACACUUGGAGAUUACAUCUAGCUAAGAAAAGGAGCUUCAAUCCACGGUUUAAUUGGGCAAAGAAGGGACCAAAAUUCUGCCUUGCUACAUCUAAACAAGUAGGUAACGAUCAACCUUGAAAAUCUUGGUUUAUGGAAGUAGUAUUACACGUAUAAACUCUUGCAUGCAUGUGGGUAGUCUUGUUUAUGGUGGAUUUGUGUUGUGUGGGCUCUAUGAACUCCCACAUUUGAUGGAUGGAUUGAUUUGAUGUUGGAAGAUGAAAUUAAUGGUAGUUUAGUGCUUAUAUUAGUGGAUUAAUGUUGUAUUGUUGAUAGAAAAUCAAAGGAGGUGCUUGGAGCAAAAGUGACCGUUUUACCCCUGCAUUGUUCAAGCACUUUUGUGCUAAAUUUUGAGGUUCUAAUGACUUGAUUAUGUUGUUUACAUGUUAUUGUGAGUGUGAAAAAAAUUUCAUUGAAAAAUAACAUGAUUUGGUUGGUCAAAUGAGUUGAUUUCCAAAGUUAGCAAAACUGGAAAAUGAAUCCCGUAUUGCCCAGGCAGUCAUUUGUAUCGGUCAUAACUCCUUGUUUCGAUGUCAAAAUCAAGUGCCAUUUUCGGCAAUGGAAACUAGACAUUCCCAAAUUUCCAUUGGUAUAAAAUACACGACCUAGUUCCACUCGAGGGAGCCAAACCAUUCGUUUGAAAAUUGUUGUCCUGUUUCGUUGCUCUUCAGGAGGCAGGACAUGAACUGUAACUUGAUGCUCAAAAACGAGUUGCUUGUGAAUAGAUUUUGAAAAUGGUUUCUUCUAAGAAAUUCUAUCUUUAUGAAAUAUCUUUUCAACGCCACCAACCACGCUCAAUUCCGAGUUAAAUUGAGUGAGUUGUAUCCAUAUUUCGAAACUGAUGCAGUGAGUAAAAAAUCCUCUUUUGGCUAGUAAAGGCCUAACCCUUGGUUGGGACUUGUUGUUUUGAAAUUCUUGAUGUUAAUCACCUACCGAAUAUAUCUUGGAUUCUUAUUAGACCUGAUUAUCAUAAAUGAUACAUGUUUUAGGCAUUUUCAUAGGCCAAAGGUUUGAGAAAAGAAAAAUUGAAGUACAAGGCAGAUUUACGUUGGAAAUUCUUGAAACUUUGAUGGUUUUGUUAACCAACUUGCCGAAUGAAUUUUCCUAUGAAAUUUGACAGAAGAAUAGCUCUUAUAUGGUAGUGUAAUCAUACCAAAUUUUGUGCCGUUCCGAGUCCAUUUCACUACCAAAUUAAAGUCCCAAAGUUUGGAACUCAAAUCUGGAAACUAGCUUAACAGUUUCUUUUUUUUUUCCUCCAACUUUGAGCGACCAUAUCUCGGUGCUCAAAACUCAGAUUCUUGAUCCGCUUGUUCUGUACUAAACCUUACUUGCAACUCUAAUUGAGUUAGAAAUUUCGGAGGCUGGUUUGAAACGUAUGAAUUUUACCGAAUUUCCAAAGUUAGCGAAAAACCAACCCCGGCACAACUCUAAGUAACCUGAAAUAGUAACUUUAAUCCCAUUUUUGAAUACCUUUCACUUAGAUUCAUGGAAAUGUGUAUUCUAAGAACUUUUAGUACUUUGGAAAUAGUUUCCAACGGUACCAAGUUUUCCAAUUUUGGACUUGUAGAGAGUGAAAUACGAUUUUCCAAAACUUUCGUAUCCAAACAGAAAUUUCCGAAACUUAAGCAAAUAGAGUUUUUCGAAUUCUCCUUUUUCCUUCGAUAUCACUUAAAUGUUUUCCACAUGAUUUGAAAUAUAAAAACCCGAUUUCUCUUAUGCAUUGAAACCCCACUUUUGAGUCUCGAUUUGCAUGUGAUUAGGACUCGUACUCGUGAAAUCUUCUUAGAUUGUACAUGGGUACAAUCUUUCUCAAUAAGUAGGGGGUUUUAAGCGAUAGUGUGUAAUAGUUUAUUGUUAUUUGUUCAGGCGCUCAAGGGGACCAUCAAGAGGAACUCGAAGCGGACGCCUAGACACUUGUUUGAGAAGUUACUCUCUUGUUGCAAUAGGUGAGUGUUCUAUAUAGGAAUACGUAAUUUGCAUAAGUCUAUGACUUGGUCAUUCUAUGGUCAUCACGUGUUAAGUGUUAAGUGCUACAUGUUAAGUAUUUAUCACACUUACACAUAUGUAAAUAAGAUAUACUUGAAUUACUUGCUAUGAAAUGCUUGAAGAGCAUAUUUAUGUGACUACUUGAAUUACUCGACAUGAAAUACUUGAAAUAUGUAUACUUGAAUUACUCGACAUGGAAUACGUGAAUUGCAUAUUUACGUGAAGUGUUUAAAUGAUCAAUUAUGCUAUGGUUGCAUAAGUCGGUUGGAGUGAAUUUCUUCGACUCUUAAGUGAUAAAUAUGGGAAAAUGGUCAAUAGCGGCCUAUUAAAAUGAAAAAUGUCUACCGAUUACCAAUUACCGAUUACCGUUUACCGUUACUCAUAAAUACUUACCGUUUACCGAUUUAUUUGAUUACUACUGUUUACAGAUUUACUUGACUACUUGAUUAUUUGAUUACCAUGAAUUCCGUAUUCAUAUGAAAUUAUGGCAUAUUCCUUACGGGUUUGGAUGUUAAGUGUUAGCUAUAAUUACUCAUAUAGAAUUGUCCAUCAUUUUAGGGCGAGUGUGUACUUUAUCUCACUCGACCUCUCCAAAAUGAUAGAUUUUUACCGUUCAUCGGUUUACGUGAUUACGUGUGCAUGUUGUAAGUUCUAAGCUGAACUUGGGCCCUGCCCUUGGUUACUGACCUACUCGAGCCAGGACUGGGCUCGGUCGGGUAGGUUGGAAUCCUGGGCCACCGUUUCGGUAUACUCGAGCAUUACCACUGGAGGGAUAAGGUGAUGACCAGACAAACCGAGGGGAUCCGGAAAUCAUAAGGUGCAGAUGACCGAAAUGGUUCCACUGGAACACCGUAUCCUUCAAUGUGUAUUUAACUUUGCAUAGUGAUAACCAUUUUUUGCAAAUGUGCCAACGUGCAAAUCUUGAGUCAUACCCGUGAUAUGUUCAAAGUACUCGUAUAAUGAUAUUUGUCUCAUGUUCAUGUACCAACGUGCAACCCCAAACCAUACAUGUGGUAUGCUCCCUUUACUUGAUUUAUUAGAACUGCUAGAGUGUCUUGGAACCUCACUGGGCUGUGUAGCUCAUACCACGUCGUGGAUUUCUUUUACAAGGUCCGAGACCAAGAGUGUCCGAGAAUAGUACUAGAUUGCUUUCUUUUGAAGAUCCUAAGUUGUAUUAUAACGGAUGGUUGUAGUACAUAUUCUUUUGGAUUGUAUUAAGUUUGAGGGCUAUCUGAUUGUAAGUGUGAAAUGUUUUGGAGUACUUUAAUUAUGUAAUUAAAGUAUUUAAAGUAUUCCUAAUUUUGAAUUAUGGAUCGUAUCGAGUCCUGACGAGAGUUGGGCAGGCCUCCCGCCGAUACUCUUGGGUUUGCCCUUGGGAGAAGUGGGGCGUCACAAUUUCAGCACUAAGAAAAAUACUUUGUUAGAGGUUAUAAGUAGAUUUAAAAAAAUGGGAUAUUGGCAGUGGUUGUUAUCUACUUGAUUAUACAGACCACUUUCUUAUUUGCCUUGAUUAUUGUAUUUGUUUAAUGAAUGUUUUCUUAUUCAUACUAUGUAUUUUUAUCUAAAUGAUUCAUUUCUUACUCGUACCAUGCAUGUUUCUCUAACGAAAUACCCUUUCUUUGUACCAAACAAGUAUUUCACGUAUAAUCAUAUGCCUCUGCAUUGUUUUUAUAUAACCAACGUAGUAGUAUUAUCAAAUUUCUGAUUAUAUUUCAUUUGCCACUAUGUUUUUUAGGAAACUAUAGACAAAGUGAUUUUUAACCGGAAUUCUUUCAACCUUUAUGUGACUUUUUCCUUUUCUAUUCCUCAUUUAUUUUUGUUUUCUUUCAUACCAAAUAUCGUAUGAUUGAUUCUCUUAAUCGCGAAACGAAACUUAAAGAAAUAAAAGUUUUGUUUGGAUAGAGAAUUAUUUGAAAUAUUAUUUAGAAUAAUUACUGUAGCACUUUUUGUGAUUUAAUGUAUACGAGAUAAAAAUAUGAUUGAGAAUAUAAAAAGGUGUAUUGAAAAAUGUGUUUAUGAUGCAAGCGAAAUAUUAAGACCCACAACAAAAUUUACAUCAGCAACUGCUACUUACAUCUUCAUUAUGUACCUUAUAUACAUAAUCUAGAAAUUUUUAUUUAUUCCAUAAACACGUGAAAUUAUUUCCAUAAACUAUGUAAGACCUUUUAGCCACAAGCGAUUUAUGAAUUAACUGCAUUUCAUUUUCAUAUAUAAAACAUAUAUGUUCAACUUCUAACCAAUUACUUAAACUUAAUUUCACUUCUAUACUUUCACACAGGCCAAUCCUAUCAUAAAAGACUAUCACACUCAUUCAGAGUACUCCAAAAUGCAAGUUGCUUUAGUAAUUUGCCAGCCUGGAAAAGAACUACUAAAGGGGCCAAAUUGUAUAAGUUUCACUUUGAAUGGUAAAUUAUAUAUGACUAUCCCUAACUUCGUGUCCAUCAAAUUGUGAGGCGUGGCCCAAGACAUUAUAUCAAUUUACUUCUGUAGAGCUUGAGGGUUCUUUGAUGGAGACAUGCAAGCAUGUUCUGCGUUCAAGCAAAAAAUAGUUAGAUUUUUGUGAUUUUGAGGCCAUUCAUGUUUUCCUUUUAAAAAAUUACAUGCAUCUGCAAUUUCCCUAGCACGAUUGUGCGUCAACUUGCCGGAGUCCUCCUACACGAUAUCGCUUUGGUGUAUGUAAUUUGCCAUUAUGUGUCAUAGUUUUGGGGGCAACAUAUUCACGUGCCAACCAAAAGUUAGCUACGUGUCAUGCUUAAAUGCCACCAAAUCGGCGUUUCUAUGGUAGGAAAGCCCGUACCAUUCCUACCGCAUCCAAUUCCGUCCCACAUCGAAAGAUCGUGGGGCAUUAGACUCUGGGUUUAAGGUUUAUGGGUGGCCGAUUCUGUCACUAAUAGGCUGAAUCUGAUUACUUUGUGAAUUUUCCUUAAAUUGUUCGUUUGGACCGUUCUUUGAUGACUCUCCAAGUGUUAAUCUAACUAUGUGCGUGUAUUCUUGAUCAUUUGUGAGAAAAAAAAAAUCCCGUGAUAGAGAGGACGGGGUAUAGAGAAAUCCCUUCCAUUCCAUACGCUUCCUAAAAGUUCAAUGCUGGUGUCUCUUCACAAGCCCACAAACUAUUAUCAAGAAAACUACAGCAACUACUUUUGUUGCACGCAACAGUUAUCGAAACUAAAGCCAGGCAACGUUAUUAUAAAAUCAGGGGAGGGGGAGAUGACUAAUUUCAUAAAUGAAAUUUCUCUCUUCAUAGUAAAUUUUAAUUAUUUUGAUACUUUAAUUUUUCUCCUGCACUUUUGUUUAUUAUAUACCAAAAAAGAUACGUUGCUAUAUGUUGAAUUAAGUUACUUGGGGUCCAGGCUGUGCAAGGUACAGUUGCUAAGGUAGUUUGGAUUGUCGUUUUUUGUCAAAAAAUUACGUCGUUUUCCGUGAUCACAUUUCCCUAUUAUUUUUUUUCAUCACAUACAUCAAAUUGCUACAGUAAUUUUUCCAUGAAAAAUGACGGAAAAUACAAUCCAAACGGAUAGCUUUACUAAAUGAAAUUGAAUUGGGCCACAUGUACUCCAUGCAGCACCCAUUGUGUUACUUCACAAAAAAAGAAAAUUCAACAAAUGCACAGCAUGUACUACGCGUGGUUCCCUAUUUUAUUUUGCAGAAGAGCUCCUCGCACAAAAUGUGGCCCCCUAGUUCCCAAAAUAAUAAAAAAAUUAACAUUUUUCUAAAAAUAAAAAUUAAAAAAGGCGUUUGGGUACGCAUGUAAGGAUAUGCGGCACUCGUAAUGCCGAUUUUGGCAAAAUGGACACUCAUAAAUGAAGAAAAGACCCACCACUUUUCUCAUUUUAUUCAUUUUUAAAAAUUUUUUAAACAAUAUUAUGAGAAAUUGAUCUGUCUCCCUAUCUUGAAGGUGUGAAAGCAUCAAUCUUUCAAAUGUCGACGAACUCUUUGAUUAGCCUUUCCAUCUAGCCAUUUGAGAAGUGCACAAAUUUUCUUACAUUUCAAUAGACUAUUCAUAACUUAAAAAUCAGAAUUUGUUUGGUCACAUUGUAGAUUCAUCUAAAGUCAUCUCUUCCGGACAAAAUGUUCCUCAAAUUCAUCCGGUCAUGUGUUAAAUUUCUGUUCAAUCAUCCAACCAAUAGUUGGUUCCCCGUUCAGUCAAUAGUUUGUUUUGACCAGUUACCAUAAAUCUUUAGGGUAUGCCAAAAAUUUAGUUAGGUAUGGGUGCUUUUAGUGGGGUUCUGGUUGUCAAACUGCAAAUUCACUGGCCUCAAUUCCGUCUACUUACAUCCCCUCGGCCAAAGACGUGAGCAGCCUGGCUAAUUUGAAAAAAUGUCCGGUCUAAAGUCAUCUCUUCCGGACAAAAUGUUCACACGUUCCUCAACUUAAACGACCUUUUCCGCCGUCGUAGUAGAUUGUCGCAUCGGCUGACGGAUUGAGCUCUUCGUAACCAUUUGCGUGAGACGUGAGAACAUGUAGUCCUGAACAGCGAGUUGUGGCGAAAAUUCUAAGGAUUGGUAUGGUGGUUUGUACCAAUGCAUUGGUAAAGUGGUUUGAUGUGGUACGGUUGUGAUAGGAGCAAGAGGAAAAGCAAAAUUGAAGGUUGUUUUUGGUGUGGGUUAAGGCUACCGAAACUUAAAUGAAUGUUGUGAUGGUAGGCUCCAGAUUGAAAUGACUCAGGACAAUUUAUCAGGCACAUGGGUUCACCUCCACUAUGGAUUCACUCAUCGUUAACCCAUGUGAAAAGACCCAAGACAUUAUUAAUAAUUGUUUUCUAAUUUAUGAACAAUAGACAUAACGAAGAAAAUGCAAAGUUAGAUAUACAACUGAAAAGAAAUUAGAAAAAUAAAUAAUAUAUGUAUGUGCAGAAUUAGAUAAAUUUUGAUUCAUUUAAUUACAUAAAUUGACAAAAGAGUAGAUAAUUUAAAUAUUUUGGAAGAAAUUUUGGAAUAAUAUGUGUAAUUAAUUAAACCAAUAAUAGGAAUUAAUAGCUGUAAAGGAGUAAAUGAAUGGUUAAUUAAUUAGUUGAGAUGGAAUAUUUGUAGGAGAAGUAAUAUGUUGUUUUAUUAUAUGAGAAGAAAUUAAUAUGAUUUUUUUAUUAUAUUUGCGGGUAGAACAUAAAGAAAUGUUUAAAAAAAUGCAUUUGUAACGGUAUUAGUCCAAAUUAAUGAGAAUGAAUUGAUGACAUAAUAACCGGAGUGCAAAUAGGUGAAAUUUAAUUAGACCAUACUUGUCACUUUUAAAUUUUCAACAUUAUCAUCAUAAUCACUUAAUUAUACUUUUAUCAUUUGAUUAACAUAUUGUCUAUGUAUUGUCAUCCAAUAGCACAACUAACUUUCAUCGAUAACCAACCAUAAACAUUAUAAUUACCAAAUUCAUUAAAAUAAUUUUAAAAAAGCUUUUAAAAGAUCAAAAUUUUUUGUUUAUUAAAAUUUUAUACCAAUUUCUUCCAUAUAAAAAGUGAUUGUUUUAAAUUACACAUAGAUUGAGUGUGCCCUUUAUCACUAGUACUACUAAUGGUAUUUGUACUAAUGUAUACAUGCUUGAAAUCAAAUAUUCGUAUUGAUUAGACUAUGUAGUGAUGCAGUUAAUAAUAUUUUUAAUAGGUAUAAAUACAAAAAUAUAAUUCCUCAUUGUUUAUUCUAAAAGCAGGACAACAAACAAUCUUAACAUUAAAAGUAUUCCAUAUACUUUCAUGGAUAAUAUAAUACAAGAUGACAUGCCCGAAUUUACUAAUGAAUGAAUAAUUUUCUUUCAAAUAACAUAAAAAACUUUUUAUAGUUGGUACUCCCGAACUUGAACAUAUUUUUAGGCAAAAGGAGAUAAAAAUUUAUGAAACAUAAGUCUAUUGUUGUUUGUUUUAUCUCGAAAUUUAAAUAUAUCCAAACCUCAUUCCUAAUUUUCCUUAUUGUAUCUAAAUGUUUUGGGCAUGAAUUCUCAUAUUACAAUAAAUUAUGAAGAGUUAAUAAUACUUUAAGUGCUUCUUUUUGUGUAAUAGGCUCCAAAGUUACCAUAUCAUCUCUAACUUUCAUCAUUAGCAUGAUUUUCAGUAAUGCCAACAAUAACUCUUUUAAACUGGAGACCUCUAAACUUGUCUCAUUUUCAUCAUCUGGAUAAUCCAAUAGGUAAUUUACAUAUUUAGACUUUUAACAUCUUUUUAUUACUAGAAUAAUUCAUAUGUUUAUAAAAAUAAAAUAAAACUUUAGUCGAUUAAACGAGUGUUUAUUUGAAUUGUAAGCACACUCAUAAAUUAAUAAAUUAUUAAUUUAUUUUAAAUUAAUAGAAUUUGUAUAACUCCGAGAUUGUUAAUUUAUAGAGGAUUUAUUGUAAUUUGUAUUAAGAAAACUACGUAGCAUUCAUUAAAUUGAGAAAUUAGUACUUUCAUUCAAUAACUUCAAGGCUAAUUAACUAUGCAGCUAUAAUUAUUGCUAGCUAUGAUUGCAUAAAAAGAAGAAGAAGAAAGUAUCAUACCCAAUAAUGUUGCACAAAUAUAGUAUUGAUGUAUACAUGCUUAAAUUUAAGAACUGGUAUUGGUUAGACUAUCAUGACACAGUUAAGAACAAUUUUUAAUAUGGACUAAUACAAGAUUAUAACUUUGCAUGUUGGAAAAUUAGAAAUGAAUAGAUAAUUUACAUUUCUUUUAUGAUUUUAAAAAGCAUUGCAAAUAUAUGAUAAAAUUAAUAGAACAAGAUAUUGUAAGGAAAUGAUCAUAUAUAAGAGCUAAAUUUUCAUUUUCUAAUGUAUUGCUACUUAUCACGUGACUUCAUCCUAUAGUAUUAGGUAUAGUUGCAAAGAAAAGGACCAAGAAUAAUUGCAAAGAAAAUCAAAUAUUGUGCAAGAAUUGCAAAAGUGUUAACAAUAAUUGGUAAAAAUAAUUACAAAUUCAUGGAUUCAAUUUGUAGUUUUGCGAAGUAGAAAGAAAGAACUCUUUUCAUGAUUCAUGAAUCAUAAAAUAUGAACUCUUUUCAUGAUUCAUGAUCUAAUUGCUUGAGUAUAUAGUAAAAAAGGGCUAAGAAUAUUUGCAAAACCUUAUUAAUCUUGUUUUCAGAUUUAUGAAUUAUAAAUCGUAAGAACUGUGAAAGGAUUAAGAAUAAUUGGUAUUACAAUGAGAAACAAAUAUUGUUUUUGGAUUCGUAUUGUAGUUGUGUGAAAUAAAAAGAAAGAACUCAUUUCAUGAUUCAUGAAUCAUAAAGUACGAUUUAAUCAUUUUUCAUAAAUGAAAAUGAGAUGUUGAAGCAUGUAUGUAGUAUAUGUUACAGAAGGAAUAAGAAAAUUGACCAAAGAAAACUAAGGUUGUGUUUGGAUUGCAUUUUCCGUCAUUUUUCAUGGAAAAAUUACUGUAGCGAUUUGAUAUAUGUGAGGAAAAAAGGUGAUAGGGAAAUGUGAUCACGGAAAACGACAAUAUUUUCCGACGGAAACAAGCAAUCCAAACAAGGCAUCUUUUCAUGAUGCAUGAAGCAUAAAAUAAAGUAUAAUUCAUUCGCAAUUGAAAGUGGGAGUGUAAUUAACCUUGAGUCUCUUAUUACGGUGAAAGUGUAAUUUUUCCGGAGAUGGACUUGCUAGUUCUUCCCACUCAAUUUUACUUUUCGUUUCAUGAAAGGUAAAUCAGGCUUUGUUUUCGUUUCUUUCUACUCAAUUUCGUCUCCAGAGAUGGCAGCCCAACUUUACCUUCACGUAAGUAAAUAAACUUUUCCUUCAAUUUCCUUUGUACCGUUUUAUUACUACUUUAUACUUAUUUGUCCUCGCAAUGUCAGACUUGUCAACCGCUAUAAUAACUUUGACUUUCAGCUCAAUACUUGUGCAGACUAGUCAUUCUAAUACAAAUUGUGUGGUACAAACCGCUGUACCCUUUUGAAGACGCUUCGCGAGUUGUGGGGCUCAUAAUAGACUUUUCCCCAAAGUUCAAUGCAUGUGUCUUUUCAUAGGUCCAUGGGCUAUUAUUAGGGAAACUACAACGACUAUUGUUGUAGUACGUAACAGAGCCAGUCAAUGUAUUACCGAAACUAUUGGCAGGCGAUCAAAACGUGGAUUGAACAAAUAUCACGGCCCCACAACUAUUUAUGUGCUAGUACAACACUUGUUUUUCACGAUACGAGAGGCUACAACAUCAAUUUUAAAAUUAUAUCCACUGUUAUUAAAAUUUAAAAGUUAGAAUCCUUGAAGUGUGACAAACUUUACAGAAGGGAAGGAGUAAUACAUACUGCAUAUAUAUAUAUAUAUAUAUCUAUCUAUUUUUUUUUCUUGGCUUGAUUUAUCCUUAUAAAUAAAAUCAUCGUAAUAAUUUAGUGAAGAAAAAUAAUUAGUCCAAGCUCAAACUGCAACUAUUAUAAAAUCUUCAAUAAUCAGAGAAGAGGAACGCAACUAAAAAAGAAAAAGGACAACGCUCUCCCCAGUUUCAAGAAAGGCACAACUUAAAAUGUUGCUUAUUAGGCACUUAUACCGUAGUACAACCCAAAGUCGUAAGCAAACUAAAUAACUUUGCAACAAACAAUAAAUUACUACAUCACAAAUACACUUCUGAAAGGUAAAUUCACUGGAGAAUUGCCCAGCCGAAAGUCUAUUCGUUCUCUGAAAUCUCGAUAUGCAAUCCACUGGGGAAAAUAAGACCAGGUUUCCGGAUUGUCUCUC